This is a long non-coding RNA of Rosa rugosa (rugosa rose), 2364 nucleotides long. RefSeq lists it as uncharacterized. The transcript has 8 exons. NCBI's taxonomy places the organism in Eukaryota, Viridiplantae, Streptophyta, Magnoliopsida, Rosales, Rosaceae. The record is from RefSeq and is a predicted model, not a curated record.
UGUCAAUGGCGAAGAACGACGCGUCCUUUGGAUCAGUGGGUGAGUUCUUGAAGCGGUGCCAGCAAUCCGGCGAGUCUUCGACGAUCGACAUCUCCAGAGAUCAUAGCCAAACGGGCACAUGAGGCUCUACGAUGAUCUCCUUACCAACGGGUAAUACAUGACGCGGCUGUGGAUUGGGACAACACCUCAGAUUGUCGCUCUGACUGUGGAUACAAGGAGUACAGUCACUUAUGUGCCUUACUCUGACUGUGAACCGUGUGGUAACCAUCAGGUUCAGCUUCAUUUCCAUGCUUGACUUAGUCAUUAACUUAGUUACUUUUGUGAUCUGUUUAUUCCUGAUUGAUUUUCCAUCAAAUUCAACCUUCUCUGAUUUUAUUGCUAUUGCUUUGUUCUCAACAUCUGGAUCGCUGUAGGGGUUUUGCUUUUAGAUGCCUUUGUAUUGGUGUUUCCCUUUCUAGGCUUGAUUUGUGGUUCUGUACUCCUUGGUCCCCGACCUUGUAUCCAAGUUGUUCACCAAAUCUACAUAUACAUGAGUAUAUUCGAAUUAGAUCGAACCCCCAAUGACCUUUCAUAUAUUGCAAAAGGUUAUUUAGUUUGGUACAGUUAGAUACUUGUUUAUCAUCAAUCCAUCAUAUAGUUAUUCUCGAUUAAUCAUAUAGACAAUUUUAACAACAGACUUCACUCCUUUGAUUAAGUAGUUAAUGGAAAAUUUCAACAGUAGAUGACAAAAGUUUACAACACAACUAACAGCUAAUGAUCUUUUGUAAUUAUAUACUUAGAUUUUCUUGGUAAAACAUAGAACAACAGGAUAUAAGUUAUAACUCGAAAGAAAUCUAAAUUUUUAAUUACCUGCUUUGGUCAUGCCGAUACCGCUGUCAAUGAUAGAGAGGGUAUUGUUGGUCUUAUCAGGGACGAGCCUGAUGAAAAACUCCGGUUGAGCAUCAAGUGUUUUAUAUUUGACUAGCCGUUCAUAAUAGUUGGGGUUGAUUUAUGCAGGCGUAUGUAACUGAUGGAAGAAGUUUUUGACCAUCUUAAAUGCACAAAAGAUGGUUUGAGCUCUGAUGAAGUUAAAGAGCGGUUGAAUUUAUUUGGUUAUAAUAAUUAAGCUUGAAGAAAAGAAGGAAAGCAAACUUUUGAAGUUUUUGGGCUUUAUGUGGAAUCCUCUGUCCUGGUUCAUGGAAGCUGCAGCUAUCCUAGCCAUUGUUUUUAGCCAAGGAGGGGCAAAUCUACACUAUAACCCUUGCUCCUCUUUUUUUUUCCUUAUCUUUCCCCUCUCUUCCUGUAGAGUACAAAGUGUUGAAAACAAGAAGGCAAUGCUGCUGCUGCUCUUAUGGUUCAGUCGGCCCCAAAAGCGAAGGUCAUUCUCUUCAAACAUUACUUUUGGAUAAGCUAGUCCAGUGCAGGUUUUACGUGACAGAAAAUGGACAGAAAAAGAUGCGGCAAGAUUGGUUCCUGGAGACAUAAUUAGCAUCAAACUUGGUGAUAUCGUUCUAUCUGGUGCACGCCUUCUUGAAGGUGAUCCUUUAAAGAUUGAUCAGUCUGCUCUUACCGGAGAAUCGCUUCCUGUGACCAAAAAUCCUGGUGAUGUGGUUUACUGAGGAUCAACAUGCAAACAAGGAGAACUUGAAGGAGUUGUUAUUGCAACUGGUAUCCAUACUUUCUUUGGAAACUCAGCUGAUCUUGUGGAGAAAACGAUACAUGUUAGCCAUUUCUAGAAGCUUUUAACAUCAAUUGGAUACUUCUGCAUCUAUUCAAUGGUUGUUGGAAUGUUUAUUGGAAUACCAGUUGGAAUUCAGAGGAGGGAGAGUGGUCGUGCUGCUGUUGUUAUUGCAAACCUACUCGUCAUCCUAAUUGGUGGGAUCCCUAUUGCUAUGCCAACUGUUCUUUCCAUUAUGAUGACCAGUGGUUCACAUCGGUUGUCUCAGCCGGAACAUGAGCUAAUCUUGAGUCUCGAGUCAGGAUAAGGAGUAAAGAAUUGAAGAUAUCAGAUAAGCCUAAAAUUUUCUCUCCUACUUAAAAGAUAAUGUAAGAUUGUUAGGACUUUCAAAUUAAUUAUUAUUUUCUUCAUUUCAGGGAGUGUUGAACAUGAAAAGGGCGUCACAGCAUUCCAGUUUCAGAGCCAUAACCACUUUGCAAACGCAUCUGUCGCAAGUGGAAUCUGAAGACGCUGAACCAAAAAUUUUCUAAUUACAAUAGCUUGGAUCUCUGCAAAUAUAGAGCUCAUAUAACCAAGACAUUUGCGGAAUUUAGGCAAUGAUGGAUCUCUGCAAAUUUAGAGUUUUAGAAAUUUGUUUAGGGCUUAGGAUGCAAGUCAUUGGCCAAUUGUAAACUCCAGCUUACUGAAUCAAUUAGUUUUUUUGUAUU